AGUCACUCUGUUCUCCCUCCCCCAGGCACACAGAUUCUCCCUCCACUUGCUGCUGCUGGAGGGUAAGGGAGAAGUGCUGUAUACAGGGCAGGCCUGCCUUUCCUAACCCCAUCGGUGCCUCUUUCCUUGAUAUGAUGUCAGAAUCAGAUUAGCUCUUUGGAACUGAGAGAUGAGAUGAGGCCUGGAAAACUUCCCCCAGUACAGUCAAGUUCCUGUUGACUAAUUCUGUGACCACCAGUGACAGUCUUUGAGUCCGUGAGGCAGAGUUGCGGCAGCACAGGCUUUGCUUGGAGUUGGAUGGUUCGCACCCUGCUUGGCAUGGUUUCUAAGAGACAUCCUCUGAGUGGAUGAGGGGAGAAUCCAGCAGGCCUCUAGUCACACUGGAGAAAAACAAGGAGAGAAAAAUCUAAACCCAGCAGAAGAGAAAGUUUAAGAAAGCGGUCGUCGCCAAUACCAAAAUUAGCUAUGAUAUUCAGGAAGAAAAAAAUGGAAACACGAUAACCACAGUCAAUAAAGACCAAGGCCACAUUCCAUUGACCAGAGCUCAGCCACGCGCCACACCUGGCUAAAGAGACUCUGGCUGAAGAAUUCCCUGAAUAUUUUAAUGUAGCUCUAGGUUAUAACACAGAACAACCACAAGGUGGCAGAAGAACUCCAUUCUUGUAAAUCUCUUAGUUGCUUCUUUAUUUCAUCUUCCCUAUUCCAUCUAAUGUUCCCUGAAUUUUACUAUUUUGUUGGUUUGAAAAUAUGUGUGACUUACGUCCUUUAAAGGAUUUGGUUCGUAAGGUUUUGAAUAGACUGGAAUAUAAAACAUUUAUAGAAAAGAAAAAUACCUACAGUAUGAUGUUAGUGAACUAUUAAUAAUCCAAUUAAAUAAAAUAUAUUUGCUUUGGAUUAAUACAUAUUUUGUUUUGAUGUUUGCUAAAUAAAACUAAGCAUUAGGAGGCCAAAUAGCCACAAUGAACAUUUUCAUAUUAUUUAAUAAGCCAGUUUCAAGGCAUACAUGCUAAAUUUGUUCUUAAGGAAAAGUUGAAUUUUUGCUUUCAUGAAAUUACAAACUCUAAGGCAAUUUUACACGUGUAAAUCCAAUGUGUUCUGAAGUUUAAAGUGUCAAAGGCUGUUGGAUUUAAACAGAUCUUGUAUGACUCUCUGUUUCAUCUCUUCAGAGGUUGAUAGUAAGCAACUUUGGCAGCAACUCACAGCUUCUGCUGUAACAUGAGGCUAAUAAUGACGACUUUAUAAGGUUGUUGCAAAGAGUCAGGGAUGCCACAAGCAACGUUCUUUAUAUAUGCAGAAUUUUAAAAAUAAAGUAAAUAAAAA
This 1320-nucleotide long non-coding RNA is filed under the name Homo sapiens (human). RNAcentral's name for it is "long intergenic non-protein coding RNA 158". The record is from RNAcentral. Lineage: Eukaryota; Metazoa; Chordata; Mammalia; Primates; Hominidae.